ACGAACGCUGGCGGCGUGCCUAAUACAUGCAAGUCGAACGGUCUUUCUAUGGAAGCUUGCUUCCACUGAGAAGAUAGUGGCGAACGGGUGAGUAACACGUGGGUAACCUGCCCAUAAGAGGGGGGAUAACAUCCGGAAACGGGUGCUAAUACCGCAUAGUUUUCUUGAUCGCAUGAUUGAGAAAGGAAAGACGGCCUUUGUGCUGUCGCUUAUGGAUGGACCCGCGGCGUAUUAGUUAGUUGGUGAGGUAACGGCUCACCAAGACGAUGAUACGUAGCCGACCUGAGAGGGUGAUCGGCCACAUUGGGACUGAGACACGGCCCAAACUCCUACGGGAGGCAGCAGUAGGGAAUCUUCCGCAAUGGACGAAAGUCUGACGGAGCAACGCCGCGUGAGUGAAGAAAAGGUUUUCGGAUCGUAAAACUCUGUUGUCAGAGAAGAACAAGUUGGAGAGUAACUGCUCCAGCCUUGACGGUAUCUGACCAGAAAGCCACGGCUAACUACGUGCCAGCCGCGGC
Molecule: ribosomal RNA, 518 nt
Filed under: uncultured bacterium
Lineage: Bacteria
Description: bacterial SSU rRNA
Rfam family: Bacterial small subunit ribosomal RNA
Source: RNAcentral